GUCUUGGUGGUUGCUGGAGGGCUAUUAGGACCCACUGAGAGAUUGAGUAUAUCAACUCCAUCAUGAACAGCCUGAUCAAUAGCAGCUACUACGUCUGCAAUAAAGCCUCCAAAAAGCCUGUAGAGUGCCUUAUAUACAGCAAUCCUAGCACGAGGAGCCAUCCCACUUGCUUUCCCAAAUUCAUGGUCAUGCAUUCUCACAGGAAUACCAUUAUUUCCUGCUGCAAUAGCAGCUAUAUGGCUUCCAUGUCCGUCACCAUCCAUGGGAGAAGCAAAAUCAAUAGAAGGGUUGAAAGCCCCAGCUGCUAUAGCAGCUUCAGCAAAAUGUUGGGCUCCAAUAAUCUUUCCAUUGCAAAAGUCUUUCUUAGUAUCAGGAUCAACUUCACAUUUUCCUCUGUACUGUGGAACAGGCUCAUAUGGAUCAGUGUUGUAUGUUGCAAAGCUUGGAUGGUGAGGAUAAAUUCCAGAGUCAACAAAUCCUAUCACAAUGUU
Molecule: unclassified non-coding RNA, 491 nt
Filed under: Hevea brasiliensis (rubber tree)
Lineage: Eukaryota; Viridiplantae; Streptophyta; Magnoliopsida; Malpighiales; Euphorbiaceae
Source: RNAcentral